Molecule: ribosomal RNA, 586 nt
Filed under: bacterium W13S17
Lineage: Bacteria
Description: bacterial SSU rRNA
Rfam family: Bacterial small subunit ribosomal RNA
Source: RNAcentral
GGGGGAUAACUAGUCGAAAGAUUAGCUAAUACCGCAUACGACCUGAGGGUGAAAGUGGGGGACCGCAAGGCCUCAUGCUAUAGGAGCGGCCGAUGUCUGAUUAGCUAGUUGGUGGGGUAAAGGCCCACCAAGGCGACGAUCAGUAGCUGGUCUGAGAGGACGAUCAGCCACACUGGGACUGAGACACGGCCCAGACUCCUACGGGAGGCAGCAGUGGGGAAUUUUGGACAAUGGGGGCAACCCUGAUCCAGCAAUGCCGCGUGUGUGAAGAAGGCCUUCGGGUUGUAAAGCACUUUUGUCCGGAAAGAAAUCGCACUUACUAAUAUUAGGUGUGGAUGACGGUACCGGAAGAAUAAGGACCGGCUAACUACGUGCCAGCAGCCGCGGUAAUACGUAGGGUCCAAGCGUUAAUCGGAAUUACUGGGCGUAAAGCGUGCGCAGGCGGUUGUGCAAGACCGAUGUGAAAUCCCCGGGCUUAACCUGGGAAUUGCAUUGGUGACUGCACGGCUAGAGUGUGUCAGAGGGGGGUAGAAUUCCACGUGUAGCAGUGAAAUGCGUAGAGAUGUGGAGGAAUACCGAUGGCGAA